AUACGUAGGGGGCGAGCGUUGUCCGGAAUGAUUGGGCGUAAAGGGCGCGUAGGCGGCCUGUUAAGUCUGGAGUGAAAGUCCUGUUUUCAAGGUGGGAAUUGCUUUGGAUACUGCCGCGCUUGAGUGCAGGAGAGGUUAUCGGAAUUCCCGGUGUAGCGGAGAAAUGCGUAGAGAUCGGGAGGAACACCAGUGGCGAAGGCGGGUAACUGGACUGCAACUGACGCUGAGGCGCGAAAGUGUGGGGAGCAAACAGGAUUAGAUACCCUGGUAGUCCACACUGUAAACGAUGAAUGCUAGGUGUAAGAGGUAUCGACCCCUUUUGUGCCGGAGUCAACACAAUAAGCAUUCCGCCUGGGGAGUACGGCCGCAAGGUUGAAACUCAAAGGAAUUGACGGGG
RNAcentral lists this ribosomal RNA (397 nucleotides) under uncultured bacterium. RNAcentral describes it as "partial 16S ribosomal RNA". It matches the Rfam family "Bacterial small subunit ribosomal RNA", at positions 523 to 918 of the family's 1533-position model. The record is from RNAcentral.